GCAGAAAGGACUUGAUGAGGCGUUUGGGUUAUGGAUUUGCGUUUUGAGGAUAUGGCGCAGAAGUUAUGAAGAGUUCAUUUAGUUGUUAUUGAGAUGCUCUGUAUUGCU
Molecule: non-coding RNA, 108 nt
Organism: Arachis ipaensis
Lineage: Eukaryota; Viridiplantae; Streptophyta; Magnoliopsida; Fabales; Fabaceae
Source: RefSeq, a predicted model, not a curated record